RNAcentral lists this ribosomal RNA (254 nucleotides) under uncultured bacterium. RNAcentral's name for it is "partial 16S ribosomal RNA". It matches the Rfam family "Bacterial small subunit ribosomal RNA", at positions 524 to 776 of the family's 1533-position model. The record is from RNAcentral.
UACAGAGGGUGCGAGCGUUAAUCGGAAUUACUGGGCGUAAAGGGCUCGUAGGCGGCCAACUAAGUCAGACGUGAAAUCCCUCGGCUUAACCGGGGAACUGCAUCUGAUACUGGAUGGCUUGAGUUCGGGAGAGGGAGUGCGGAAUUCCAGGUGUAGCGGUGAAAUGCGUAGAUAUCUGGAGGAACACCGGUGGCGAAGGCGGCAUCCUGGACCGACACUGACGCUGAGGAGCGAAAGCCAGGGGAGCAAACGGG